This 472-nucleotide ribosomal RNA is filed under the name soil bacterium 07G-07. RNAcentral describes it as "bacterial SSU rRNA". It matches the Rfam family "Bacterial small subunit ribosomal RNA", at positions 27 to 483 of the family's 1533-position model. The record is from RNAcentral.
GGACGAACGCUGGCGGCGUGCCUAAUACAUGCAAGUCGAGCGAAUCGAYGGGAGCUUGCUCCCUGAGAUUAGCGGCGGACGGGUGAGUAACACGUGGGCAACCUGCCUAUAAGACUGGGAUAACUUCGGGAAACCGGAGCUAAUACCGGAUACGUUCUUUUCUCGCAUGAGAGAAGAUGGAAAGACGGUUUACGCUGUCACUUAUAGAUGGGCCCGCGGCGCAUUAGCUAGUUGGUGAGGUAAUGGCUCACCAAGGCGACGAUGCGUAGCCGACCUGAGAGGGUGAUCGGCCACACUGGGACUGAGACACGGCCCAGACUCCUACGGGAGGCAGCAGUAGGGAAUCUUCCGCAAUGGACGAAAGUCUGACGGAGCAACGCCGCGUGAACGAAGAAGGCCUUCGGGUCGUAAAGUUCUGUUGUUAGGGAAGAACAAGUACCAGAGUAACUGCUGGUACCUGACGGUACCUAAC